Molecule: non-coding RNA, 111 nt
Filed under: Kryptoperidinium triquetrum
Lineage: Eukaryota; Dinophyceae; Peridiniales; Kryptoperidiniaceae
Source: RNAcentral
AGUUCGACCUGGAGUAUCCACUGGGCCGCCGUGUUGACGGAACUGCUCCAGGCCUGGAAGCAGUUCUGCCGAAGAUCCUAGGUGCGAUGGGCAGCGGAGGUAGUGGGGCCA